UACUAGAGUAGCACUCGCAUAUCAAUAAGCGGAGGAAAAGAAACUAACAAGGAUUCCCCUAGUAACGGCGAGUGAAGCGGGAAGAGCUCAAAUUUGAAAUCUUCAAGGUUUUACCUUGACGAAUUGUAGUUUAAAGAAGUGUUUUCUGUUGGAGUUUUGGUAAAAGUUCUUUGGAAUAGGACAUCAUAGAGGGUGAGAAUCCCGUAUUUGACCAUUAUUUCCAGCUGUGUGAUACACUUUCAAAGAGUCGGAUUGUUUGGGAAUGCAGUCCAAAAUGGGUGGUAAAUUUCAUCUAAAGCUAAAUAUUGGCGAGAGGCCGAUAGCGAACAAGUACCGUGAGGGAGAGAUGAAAAGAACUUUGAAAAGAGAGUUAAACAGUACGUGAAAUUGUCAAAAGGGAAGCGUUUGACACCAGUGUUGUUUAGUUGAAAAUCAAUUCAAUAGUUUUUGAUUCUAAGUAGUAUUGACUUCAUCAGCUUGCUGCUUUCUUCUCAGAAAUUAUUGAAUGCACUUUUCAGUUAACAAGUCAACAUCAAUUUCUUUUGUUGUAAAAGGGUAAGAGGAAGGUGGCUUGCGCUUCGGCUCAAGUGUUUAUAGCCUUUUAUCUCUGCAAUCGGAGAGAUUGAGGUCUGCAGCGUAGAUCCUUCGGGGUUAGAUACAUUUGUGCUAAGCUAUAGUUCUUUAUAGACAACUUGUUGACUAUAAUCAAUCCUGUAACUUACUCGCUUAUGCUAUUUUACCUACGCUUAGGAUGUUGAAGAUAUGCGCGACACG
This 774-nucleotide ribosomal RNA is filed under the name uncultured Neocallimastigales. Its description in RNAcentral is "partial large subunit ribosomal RNA". It matches the Rfam family "Eukaryotic large subunit ribosomal RNA", at positions 20 to 644 of the family's 3401-position model. Lineage: Eukaryota; Fungi; Neocallimastigomycota; Neocallimastigomycetes; Neocallimastigales. The record is from RNAcentral.